UACGUAGGUGGCAAGCGUUGUCCGGAUUUACUGGGCGUAAAGGGCGUGCGGGCGGUCUGUUAAGUGCAGGGUGAAAGCUCCCGGCUCAACUGGGAGAGGUCCUUGCAUACUGGCGGACUUGAGGGGGGUAGAGGAAAGUGGAAUUCCCGGUGUAGUGGUGAUAUGCGUAGAUAUCGGGAGGAACACCUGUGGCGAAGGCGGCUUUCUGGGCCCUACCUGACGCUGAGACGCGAAAGCGUGGGGAGCGAACCGG
RNAcentral lists this ribosomal RNA (253 nucleotides) under uncultured bacterium. RNAcentral describes it as "partial 16S ribosomal RNA". It matches the Rfam family "Bacterial small subunit ribosomal RNA", at positions 524 to 776 of the family's 1533-position model. The record is from RNAcentral.